CUGAAAUGGAGGAUAAAAUUUUCAGCUUCGUUUGAGUUUCUGUUCAACGUUUCGUUAUGGAAGUGACAGCGACAUGCCGGUUAGAAGUUCAGGCAUUUUGCACAGUUUUUUAUACUUCAACUUCGGCAGGAUCAAAGAAAGAGGGAGAGGAAAGGUCACAUGGGUGGAUAUUGAUGGAUGGACUGUUCCUAUUGGUUGGAGCAUCAAGCUAUGUUAACC
Molecule: non-coding RNA, 219 nt
Organism: Pelobates cultripes (western spadefoot toad)
Lineage: Eukaryota; Metazoa; Chordata; Amphibia; Anura; Pelobatidae
Source: the annotation of a GenBank genome assembly